Molecule: ribosomal RNA, 609 nt
Filed under: uncultured bacterium
Lineage: Bacteria
Description: bacterial SSU rRNA
Rfam family: Bacterial small subunit ribosomal RNA
Source: RNAcentral
CUUAGUAACGAAGCUAACGCGUGAAGUUGACCGCCUGGGGAGUACGGUCGCAAGAUUAAAACUCAAAGGAAUUGACGGGGACCCGCACAAGCGGUGGAUGAUGUGGAUUAAUUCGAUGCAACGCGAAAAACCUUACCUACCCUUGACAUGUCCGGAAUCCUGCAGAGAUGCGGGAGUGCUCGAAAGAGAACCGGAACACAGGUGCUGCAUGGCUGUCGUCAGCUCGUGUCGUGAGAUGUUGGGUUAAGUCCCGCAACGAGCGCAACCCUUAUCAUUAGUUGCUACGCAAGGGCACUCUAAUGAGACUGCCGGUGACAAACCGGAGGAAGGUGGGGAUGACGUCAAGUCCUCAUGGCCCUUAUGGGUAGGGCUUCACACGUCAUACAAUGGUCGGUACAGAGGGUUGCCAAGCCGCGAGGUGGAGCCAAUCCCAGAAAGCCGAUCGUAGUCCGGAUUGUUCUCUGCAACUCGAGAGCAUGAAGUCGGAAUCGCUAGUAAUCGCGGAUCAGCAUGUCGCGGUGAAUACGUUCCCGGGUCUUGUACACACCGCCCGUCACACCAUGGGAGUGGAAUCUGGCAGAAGUAGGUAGCCUAACCGCAAGGAGGGCG